Molecule: long non-coding RNA, 144 nt
Organism: Bufo bufo (common toad)
Lineage: Eukaryota; Metazoa; Chordata; Amphibia; Anura; Bufonidae
Exons: 3
Source: RefSeq, a predicted model, not a curated record
CUACAGAAAGGAAGUUUUUAUGAUGUUCUGUCAAGAAAAUACCAGAUUAAUGGGUACUCAACCUGGCAUGGGGGCAGGAAGAUUCUUUGGCAAGGAGGUGCUAAUUGUACCUCUGAUCUAUGAGCUACUCCUUUUGUGAAAGAG